CAGCCGUAAACUAUGCGCGUUAGGUGUAUCGGUGACCACGAGUUACCGAGGUGCCGAAGGGAAACCGUGAAACGUGCCGCCUGGGAAGUACGGUCGCAAGGCUGAAACUUAAAGGAAUUGGCGGGGGGAGGCACCACAACAGGUGGAGCCUGCGGUUUAAUUGGACUCAACGCCGGGAAGCUCACCGGAUAAGACAGCGGAAUGAUUGCCGGGCUGAAGACUCUGCAUGACUAGCUGAGAGGAGGUGCAUGGCGUAGACGUCU
This 263-nucleotide ribosomal RNA is filed under the name uncultured archaeon. RNAcentral describes it as "partial 16S ribosomal RNA". It matches the Rfam family "Archaeal small subunit ribosomal RNA", at positions 748 to 1009 of the family's 1478-position model. The record is from RNAcentral.